Molecule: ribosomal RNA, 468 nt
Filed under: uncultured bacterium
Lineage: Bacteria
Description: partial 16S ribosomal RNA
Rfam family: Bacterial small subunit ribosomal RNA
Source: RNAcentral
GACGAACGCUGGCGGCGUGCUUAACACAUGCAAGUCGAACGGAAAGGCCCUGCUCUUGUGGGGUGCUCGAGCGGCGAACGGGUGAGUAACACGUGAGUAACCUGCCCUUGACUUUGGGAUAACUUCAGGAAAAUGGGGCUCAUACCGGAUAGGAGCUCCUGCUGCAUGGUGGGGGUUGGAAAGUUUCGGCGGUUGGGGAUGGACUAGCGGCUUAUCAGCUUGUUGGUGGGGUAGUGGCUUACCAAGGCUUUGACGGGUAGCCGGCCUGAGCGGGUGAGCGGCCACAUUGGGACUGAGAUACGGCCCAGACUCCUACGGGAGGCAGCAGUGGGGAAUAUUGCACAAUGGGCGGAAGCCUGAUGCAGCAACGCCGCGUGCGGGAUGACGGCCUUCGGGUUGUAAACCGCUUUCGCCGGUGACGAAGCGUGAGUGACGGUAAUGGGUAAAGAAGCACCGGCUAACUACGUG